GUGCUGUCUUUGGCAGCACAUGUACUAAAAAAUUGUAAUGAUACAGAGAUUAGCAUGGCCCCUGCACAAUGUUGCCAUGCAAAUUUAUGAACUAUUCCAUAUUUUU
Molecule: small nuclear RNA, 106 nt
Organism: Nomascus leucogenys (northern white-cheeked gibbon)
Lineage: Eukaryota; Metazoa; Chordata; Mammalia; Primates; Hylobatidae
Source: Ensembl